AGUGAACGCUGGCGGUAGGCCUAACACAUGCAAGUCGAACGGCAGCACAGUAAGAGCUUGCUCUUACGGGUGGCGAGUGGCGGACGGGUGAGGAAUACAUCGGAAUCUACUUUUUCGUGGGGGAUAACGUAGGGAAACUUACGCUAAUACCGCAUACGACCUACGGGUGAAAGCAGGGGAUCUUCGGACCUUGCGCGAUUGAAUGAGCCGAUGUCGGAUUAGCUAGUUGGCGGGGUAAAGGCCCACCAAGGCGACGAUCCGUAGCUGGUCUGAGAGGAUGAUCGGCCACACUGGAACUGAGACACGGUCCAGACUCCUACGGGAGGCCGCAGUGGGGAAUAUUGGACAAUGGGCGCAAGCCUGGUCCAGCCAUACCGCGUGGGUGAAGAAGGCCUUCGGGUUGUAAAGCCCUUUUGUUGGGAAAGAAAAGCAGCAGGUUAAUACCCCGCUGUUCUGACGGUACCCAAAGAAUAAGCACCGGCUAACUUCGUG
This 492-nucleotide ribosomal RNA is filed under the name uncultured bacterium. RNAcentral describes it as "partial 16S ribosomal RNA". It matches the Rfam family "Bacterial small subunit ribosomal RNA", at positions 29 to 507 of the family's 1533-position model. The record is from RNAcentral.